CAUUAGAUGGCUGAAAGAAAGCAAUGGAAUUUUAAACCAUCUAAUAGUAAUUAACGUCUACUUCUAAUGA
This 70-nucleotide transfer RNA is filed under the name Saperda tetrastigma. Its description in RNAcentral is "tRNA-Lys". The record is from RNAcentral. Lineage: Eukaryota; Metazoa; Arthropoda; Insecta; Coleoptera; Cerambycidae.